UCCUUGGAGGUCUCUGGGGACUCGCGAUUCAGGCAUAACAAGGGCACCUGCCUGGGCUACUCUGUGAAGGCUGCCUGAACAGCAUGGUUGGAGACACCCGGUCCUAGGAGGAGAGAUUGGGGUGUUGCCAGUUCUCUCCCCAACAUCAACACUGUGGGGCUCCCUGGAAUAGGACAGAUGCCCCCAGUGGGGGCGGGACCGCUUACACCACACCUCGCCCCUCAGUGCCUGGUAACUGCAUAACUGCUCAUCUACUGGAAUGAGACCGACACCCACAGAACCAGAUGGCCUCUCCUCCAGACCAACACAGCCCCUGGUCCCAGGCACCAGCAGACAACUGUCCUGCAGUUUGAAAAGCUGACUUCCAGUGACUGCAUCAACUGGCGAUCUUGCUCUACUGGCCUGCAAUUGGGUUUGACAGAUGCGACGCACUGAUAGGCCACCAGAAGAUGGCCUCGGGGAGUGUAUCAGAGUCUCCAAACCUCACGUCUCUCUGGAAAUUCUGACAGGAUGGCUUUGGGGUCACGCUUCUCACUCCUCAGCCAACCAUGUCUGCUAAGGCAACACUGUGUGCCUCACUGGUCAACACCCGUCAGAGGAAUUGGAAGUUUGAAGUAUAGAAGAUUACCUUCACUUAUAUAUCCAUGCUGUCCCAGAGAGUGUGGCCUUCCUGUGCUGAGCUGGGAGUCCUGCAGACUUGGAACUUGGCGUUCACGUAACACCUCCUGGGUGUCUCAUUUCCCUAUUCUCAUUUGCACAAUGGGGAACAUUUGUUUCAUGUAAAGAAAAUGUACUUAAGACAAUU
Molecule: long non-coding RNA, 805 nt
Organism: Hyaena hyaena (striped hyena)
Lineage: Eukaryota; Metazoa; Chordata; Mammalia; Carnivora; Hyaenidae
Exons: 4
Source: RefSeq, a predicted model, not a curated record